This 1227-nucleotide ribosomal RNA is filed under the name metagenome. RNAcentral's name for it is "bacterial LSU rRNA". It matches the Rfam family "Bacterial large subunit ribosomal RNA", at positions 1579 to 2815 of the family's 2925-position model. The record is from RNAcentral.
ACGGCGUUGAAGCAGUCUAUGUCAGACUUCCAAGAAAAGCUCGGAAUAUCAAAAACAAGAAAUGCCUGUACCAUAACCGACACAGGUGGGUAGGUAGAGUAUACUAAGGGGCGCGAGAUAACUCUCUCUAAGGAACUCGGCAAAAUGACUCCGUAACUUCGGGAGAAGGAGUGCCUUCUUUUAGAAGGUUGCAAUAACAAGAUCCAAGCAACUGUUUACCAAAAACACAGGUCUCCGCUAAGUCGUAAGACGAUGUAUGGGGGCUGACGCCUGCCCAGUGCCAGAAGGUUAAAGAAGUUGGUUAGUUUCGGCGAAGCUGAUGACUGAAGCCCUGGUGAACGGCGGCCGUAACGAUAACGGUCCUAAGGUAGCGAAAUUCCUUGUCGGGUAAGUUCCGACCCGCACGAAAGGCGUAAUGAUUUGGAUACUGUCUCGGAGAGGGGCUCGGUGAAAUAGACUUGUCUGUGAAGAUGCGGACUACCUGCACCAGGACAGAAAGACCCUAUGAAGCUUUACUGUAACUUGAGAUUGAAAUUGGACUUUAUUUGCGCAGUAUAGGUGGGAGACGUUGAGAAUAUUCUUGCGGGAGUAUUGGAGUCAUCAGUGAGAUACCACUCUUGUAAUGUUAGAUUUCUAACUUUGUAUCAUUAUCUGGUCAAAGGACAGUUUCAGGCGGGCAGUUUGACUGGGGCGGUCGCCUCCCAAACGGUAACGGAGGCGCACAAAGGUUUCCUCUGAACGUGUAGAAAUCGUAUCUAGAGUGUAAAGGCAUAAGGAAGCUUGACUGUGAGACCUACAUGUCGAGCAGGGACGAAAGUCGGUCUUAGUGAUCUGACGGUGCUGAGUGGAAAGGCCGUCACUCAACGGAUAAAAGUUACUCUAGGAUAACAGGCUGAUCUCCCCCAAGAGUUCACAUCGACGGGGAGGUUUGGCACUUCGAUGUCGGCUCAUCGCAUCCUGGGGCGGUAGUACGUCCCAAGGGUUGGGCUGUUCGCCCAUGAAAGCGGUACGCGAGCUGGGUUCAGAACGUCGUGAGACAGUUCGGUCCAUAUCCGGUGUAGGCGUUAGAAUAUUGAGAGGAGCCUUCUUUAGUACGAGAGGACCGAGAAGGACAUACCUCUGGUGUACCAGUUAUCGUGCCAACGGUAAACGCUGGGUAGCUAUGUAUGGAGCGGAUAACCGCUGAAAGCAUCUAAGUGGGAAGCCCACCUCAAGAUAAGUAUUCUC